AAAAUUCAAAAAUAAGCAUUGGGAGGUGCGCUAUUCAGUGGCGUUGAAAAAAAAAAGAAACAGAGAAACCCCGAACAGAAGAGCAAACCCCAAAAUAACAUUGCUUGGCCUGCUUCAGACUAAAAACACAUGCAUGGUCCGGUGACAGAAAAGAAUCAUCAAGAUUCGUGUGAGACAUUGAACGGGCAAAAAUUGAGUGAUGG
Molecule: long non-coding RNA, 203 nt
Filed under: Brachypodium distachyon (stiff brome)
Lineage: Eukaryota; Viridiplantae; Streptophyta; Magnoliopsida; Poales; Poaceae
Description: long non-coding RNA (BDIS_LNC002200)
Source: RNAcentral